CCUACGUGAGGCUGCAGUGGGGAAUAUUGGACAAUGGGGGCAACCCUGAUCCAGCCAUGCCGCGUGUGUGAAGAAGGCCCUCGGGUUGUAAAGCACUUUCAGUGAGGAAGAACGCCUGGUGGUUAAUACCCAUCAGGAAAGACAUCACUCACAGAAGAAGCACCGGCUAACUCCGUGCCAGCAGCCGCGGUAAUACGGAGGGUGCGAGCGUUAAUCGGAAUUACUGGGCGUAAAGCGCGCGUAGGUGGCUUGAUAAGCCGGUUGUGAAAGCCCCGGGCUCAACCUGGGAACGGCAUCCGGAACUGUCAAGCUAGAGUGCAGGAGAGGAAGGUAGAAUUCCCGGUGUAGCGGUGAAAUGCGUAGAGAUCGGGAGGAAUACCAGUGGCGAAGGCGGCCUUCUGGACUGACACUGACACUGAGGUGCGAAAGCGUGGGUAGCAAACAGGAUUAGAUACCCCGGUAGUC
This 465-nucleotide ribosomal RNA is filed under the name Vreelandella stevensii. Its description in RNAcentral is "partial 16S ribosomal RNA". It matches the Rfam family "Bacterial small subunit ribosomal RNA", at positions 338 to 795 of the family's 1533-position model. The record is from RNAcentral. Lineage: Bacteria; Pseudomonadati; Pseudomonadota; Gammaproteobacteria; Oceanospirillales; Halomonadaceae.